This 496-nucleotide ribosomal RNA is filed under the name uncultured bacterium. RNAcentral's name for it is "partial 16S ribosomal RNA". It matches the Rfam family "Bacterial small subunit ribosomal RNA", at positions 28 to 506 of the family's 1533-position model. The record is from RNAcentral.
GAUGAACGCUGGCGGCGUGCCUAAUACAUGCAAGUCGAGCGAACGGACGAGAAGCUUGCUUCUCUGAUGUUAGCGGCGGACGGGUGAGUAACACGUGGAUAACCUACCUAUAAGACUGGGAUAACUUCGGGAAACCGGAGCUAAUACCGGAUAAUAUUUUGAACCGCAUGGUUCAAAAGUGAAAGACGGUCUUGCUGUCACUUAUAGAUGGAUCCGCGCUGCAUUAGCUAGUUGGUAAGGUAACGGCUUACCAAGGCAACGAUGCAUAGGCGACCUGAGAGGGUGAUCGGCCACACUGGAACUGAGACACGGUCCAGACUCCUACGGGAGGCAGCAGUAGGGAAUCUUCCGCAAUGGGCGAAAGCCUGACGGGGCAACGCCGCGUGAGUGAUGAAGGUCUUCGGAUCGUAAAACUCUGUUAUUAGGGAAGAACAUAUGUGUAAGUAACUGUGCACAUCUUGCCGGUACCUAAUCAGAAAGCCACGGCUAACUACGU